UACGUAGGUGGCGAGCGUUGUCCGGAAUUACUGGGUGUAAAGGGCGUGCAGGCGGGAAUACAAGUUAGAUGUGAAAUACCGGGGCUCAACUUCGGGGUUGCAUCUGAAACUGGAUUUCUUGAGUGCUGGAGAGGGAAGCGGAAUUCCUGGUGUAGCGGUGAAAUGCGUAGAGAUCAGGAGGAACAUCAGUGGCGAAGGCGGCUACCUGGACGAGCACUGACGCUGAGGCACGAAAGCGUGGGGAGCAAACAGG
Molecule: ribosomal RNA, 253 nt
Filed under: uncultured bacterium
Lineage: Bacteria
Description: partial 16S ribosomal RNA
Rfam family: Bacterial small subunit ribosomal RNA
Source: RNAcentral